This 476-nucleotide long non-coding RNA is filed under the name Gorilla gorilla gorilla (western lowland gorilla). RNAcentral's name for it is "lncRNA (ENSGGOG00000044423.1)". Lineage: Eukaryota; Metazoa; Chordata; Mammalia; Primates; Hominidae. The record is from RNAcentral.
CGCCACUCACGCGGAGCCAAUCGGAACUCGCGGCGGGGCUGCUGGGUCUUCCAGGAGCGCGCAUGAGCGGACGCUGCCUACCGGUGGCCGGGCGGGAUGUAACCGGCUGCUGAGCUGGCAGUUCUGUGUCGCUAGGCUUCGGCCCGGCCGCCGCCGCACAUAAGCUGCGAGGAGGAGCUUUACGACUUCCCGGUCUUCGGGGCCGGGCGCAGCAAGGGCCAGACUCUGCGCUAGCAGGCGCUGCGCGCCAACCGGCCGGCACCUGUCGCAGAAGGUGCAACCGAUCGCACUGUCGUGCAGAAGCUCCUCAAUGGCCAGCGCCAGCUGCAGCCCCGGCUGCCCACUCGCCUCACCUGAGCCUGGGCGAAUCUGGAUUGGGAAAGUUGACAUUAAUCAACUCAUUAUUCCUCCCAGAGUUGUAUUCUCCAGAGUAUCCGGGUCCUUCUCAGAGAAUUAAAAAGCCUGUACAGGUCUAG